CAAAAACAUAGCCCUAGAAAUAAUCUAAGGUGUGACCUGCCCAGUGGUUUUUAAAUAAAGAGUUUAGAAUGCUUAAAAUAAAACUAAAAGGACGCGGUAACCUUGACCGUGAUAAUGUAGCGUAAUCACUCGCCAUUUAAUUGAUGGAUAGUAUGAAUGGUUAAACGAAUAUUCCCCUGUCUUAGAAAGAAUUAUGUAAAAUUGAAUUAGUAGUUAAGAUGCUACUUAGAAUUGUAAGACGAAAAGACCCUAUAGAGCUUAACUAUAAUCUUUACAGUUUACAAGAAAAUAAGUUCGAAAUUUGUAAAGUUUGGUAGUUUAGUUGGGGCGACUGUUUUCUAGAUUUAACGAAAAUAAGCAAUGUCAAUAUUAGAUUUAUUGUAUAAAAUAAUGUUUUAACAAUUAUUAAUGUAGGCUAUAAUGACCCGUUGGCAUUAAAAAACUAAAGUUAACGAUCAAUUGAUAAAAGCUACCUUAGGGAUAACAGGAUAAUUUCAUCUUAGAGUCCUAAUCGAAGAUGAAGUUUGUCACCUCGAUG
This 538-nucleotide ribosomal RNA is filed under the name Eutima diademata. Its description in RNAcentral is "partial 16S ribosomal RNA". It matches the Rfam family "Bacterial large subunit ribosomal RNA", at positions 1808 to 2531 of the family's 2925-position model. Lineage: Eukaryota; Metazoa; Cnidaria; Hydrozoa; Leptothecata; Eirenidae. The record is from RNAcentral.